AGAAAUAUUGCUUGCAGUGUAGGCAUUCGUGCAAGUAUCAUAUUGUAUAUGUUGAGAUUUUUGCAUUUGUAUCUUGCCUACUUCUUUGAUAUUCAUUCCUGAUGCAUGCGUUGAAUCUCUUGUGAAAAAGUUUAUUGGCUUAAAUUCUGAACUUGAGAAACUGGUGCUUCAUUAAAGUUAGUUUGUUAUAAGUCUUGGUGUUGUUUCAAAGAAAUUUUGAGGUCCUGUCCUCCAGUAUCAGCAUUCUGGUUUAAAACUAUUUGUUUAUUUUACUUAUUAAACAAUGUGAUUUGAAUUGGCCUGGUUCAGUUUGAGUAGGAUUGUAUUUCAACUCAAUUGGUUAUGACAAACUUGGCCUUUUAAUUCCUGCAUAAAUGAAUUGCUGAUGAUAGCUGAUCUUGGAUUCAUUAAGGAGUACUUGAUUUUUAUUAGGAUUUCAUAACUUCCUUUUUUAUUUCCAUAUAAUCCUGUUCAUAAUGUUUUCAUCUAUUGAUUUGUGGGCAUGCUUUCUGAUGGAGUUAUUUUUGGAUAGUUGCUUUCCCAUUAAAGAGAACAUGAAGUUGAUUUUCAGCAUCAUGUCUGUAUUAUACUAAUCUAUUCAAUAGAAAUAGGAAAAACUAUUAAAACUUCCUGGAGUGAAAUUUGUAGUUUAUUUCUCAGAUUUCUCUGGAAAGCCAAGUUUAAAACUUUAGGUCCAAAGCUGACAAAUAUGGACCCCAAGUUGGAAUGUACGAACUUGCCCUGAGAUUAACAUGCAGAGAAAGAGAGAGAAUUAUUAAAACUUCCUCAAGCGAAAUUUGUGGUUUAGUACUCUGAUUUUUCUGCUAGUUUAGAACUUGAUCUUAUGGCCUAAACUGACAGAUAUCAUUAUGGUUCUUAUUCUUUUAAACUGGAGCAGCGAGAGAAAGUUUUGGAUGGUGUGGUUUGGCAUAGAUGGGCUCAUUUUGCUUUUCAAUUUGAGGCAAGUUUUGCUAUUUUAGUAGAAAAAUAAAGAAAGAAGGUGCAAUGCCAUGUGGUUGCUUAUCUAAUUGUGUAUCUUUACCUCCUCCAUUUUCAAACUAGAAUUUCCUCUUUUCUGCUUUGGCACGUCUCUUGCAGGAAAGAACCAAUUUAUGCUUUCUUCACAAAAAAAGAAGUCCAAAACUGGAGAAUCUCAUUGGUCUCCUCCAUUUUUCUUGUAUAUUUGAUUUUUCAUUGCCUGAUUUAUACUUUGGAUACUUCUUCUGAAGAUCAUGGAAUUUGCAAUUGGAGAUAACUGAGGAACUAGGCCUAAAAAAAAGGGGGAAUUCUGGAUCUAGUUUAAUGAUCUCAGCCAGACUUGCAUUUGUUGACCAAGAAAGUGGCUGUGGAUAUUAGGGAUUGAUAGUUUUGAAGCAGAGGAUGCAGACUGAUAAGGUGAGGUGCCCAUGGGCUGUGACUGAGGAUAAGAGGGUUUGAUAAAGGUCAAUUUGUGAAGAUGGAGAAAACAGAAAAAAUAAGAUAAUGGGAGGGGGUUAAAACUUUAGAGGGAAUUUUGGCCUAAUUUUUAUUUAACAAAAUCAGUUAAAAGUUAUUAGACAGACAAUUAGAGGACCAACCAGCAGAUUUCAUAUUAACUUGGCAAGGUUUUUGUAAUUUUCCCCUAGCUAUCUUUCUGAAUUGAUAAGUAAAGAAAAUCCAAGUCUUUAUGGUCUGAUACUUUGUAUCUCAAGAUGUGCUGCAUUUUUUAUUUAUAUUUAGUUGAUCUUCUGUAAAUUCAAAUCCAUAUAAUGCGACGCUUACUCGCUCAGGUCGUGGGAUGUGCUUAUUUUUUAUGUUCAUAUAAUGGUUCCCAUAUUCUGACAUUUAACGGUAAAUGCUUCAUUUACUGAGUUGCUGAAAUUAUAUCCUUGCCAAUGGCACUUGCAUAUUUCUUCCAGGACUGGAAUUGCAUACAUAUCGAAUGUUGCAGUUCGGGAGAUAUUCCGGCGGAAGGGGAUAGCCAAGAGACUUAUAGCAAAGGCAGAGGCUCAAGCCAGGAGCUGGGGAUGUCGUGCCAUUGCUUUGCAUUGUGACCUGAACAAUCCCGGAGCCACAAAACUGUACAAAGGCCAGGGUUUCAAAUGUAUUAAGGUGCCAGAAGGAGCAAACUGGCCUCAGCCGAUGACCUCUCCAGAUAUCAAAUUCAACUUCAUGAUGAAACUUCUGAAAAACCCAACAACCGCUUAGAAC
Molecule: unclassified non-coding RNA, 2190 nt
Filed under: Hevea brasiliensis (rubber tree)
Lineage: Eukaryota; Viridiplantae; Streptophyta; Magnoliopsida; Malpighiales; Euphorbiaceae
Source: RNAcentral